AACGCACAUUGCGCCCUUUGGUAUUCCGAAGGGCAUGCCUGUUCGAGCGUCAUUAUCAACCCUCAAGCCCGGCUUGUUAUUGGGUCCUUAUCGUUAAAGAUAGGCCCGAAAGAUAAUGGCGGCGUCACAAAUGACCCCAGAUGCAGCGAGCUUAUAGCAUACAUUGAAAGGUUUUUGUGGCCCGGCCUUAACGAGAAGCAAUUCUCAAUUUUUCAAAGGUUGACCUCGGAUCAGGUAGGAAUACCCGCUGAACUUAA
This 257-nucleotide unclassified non-coding RNA is filed under the name Hygrocybe sp. Its description in RNAcentral is "partial contains 5.8S ribosomal RNA, internal transcribed spacer 2, and large subunit ribosomal RNA". The stretch from base 1 to 52 matches the Rfam family "5.8S ribosomal RNA", at positions 103 to 154 of the family's 154-position model. Lineage: Eukaryota; Fungi; Basidiomycota; Agaricomycetes; Agaricales; Hygrophoraceae. The record is from RNAcentral.